AUUGAACGCUGGCGGCACGCCUAACACAUGCAAGUCGAGCGGUAACAUGAUUAGUAGCAAUACUAAUUGAUGACGAGCGGCGGACGGGUGAGGAACACGUAGGAACCUGCCCAAGAGAGGGGGAUAACUAAGGGAAACUUUAGCUAAUACCGCAUAAUUCUCUGAGGAGAAAAGUUGCCCGCAAGGGUAGCGCUUUUGGAGGGGCCUGCGUCCGAUUAGUUAGUUGGUGAGGUAACGGCUCACCAAGACGGUGAUCGGUAACUGGUCUGAGAGGACGACCAGUCACACUGGGACUGAGACACGGCCCAGACUCCUACGGGAGGCAGCAGUGGGGAAUCUUGGACAAUGGGGGCAACCCUGAUCCAGCGAUGCCGCGUGGGUGAAGAAGGCCUUCGGGUUGUAAAGCCCUUUAGGCUGGGAAGUAGAUUGCGGGGUGAAUAAUCCUGUAAUUUGACGGUACCAGCAGAAUAAGCACCGGCAAACUCUGUGCCAGCAGCCGCAGUAA
RNAcentral lists this ribosomal RNA (505 nucleotides) under uncultured bacterium. Its description in RNAcentral is "partial 16S ribosomal RNA". It matches the Rfam family "Bacterial small subunit ribosomal RNA", at positions 30 to 523 of the family's 1533-position model. The record is from RNAcentral.